Molecule: long non-coding RNA, 436 nt
Filed under: Helianthus annuus (common sunflower)
Lineage: Eukaryota; Viridiplantae; Streptophyta; Magnoliopsida; Asterales; Asteraceae
Source: RNAcentral
AUAGAAGAUGUAGAUAUGCUGUAGGAAAAAAAAAACAAAAUCAAAUAUUCACAUGGUGAAGAUCAAAAUGAUAUGUAAUAUCCUAUGCUUGUACAGAUCCUAUGCAUGGUAAGUCAACGGGCCAGAUGAGCAUCGUUUCCAAUCCGGCAACUCGGCAAGCACUGAACCGGGACCUGACCGAAUUCCUACCAAUUUCAAAACCAAAAACCAUCCUUUUUAUGCAUUGGCGGUUUGGGUUUGUAGGCAGAUCAAUUUUUACAACCCAGAACGAAUAUAAUUACAAUCCUUGCUAAUAUAUGUUGAGGUUUAAUAAUUUAUGUUUAAAAUCUAAUCUAAUUUGUUACGGUGGUUAUAUCAUUACACUUACAUGAUAUUAUAUUUGAGAUUUGCAUGCCCUACGACGUACUCCAGCCUUGGUUGAUUGAAAUAGAGAGAU